This 494-nucleotide ribosomal RNA is filed under the name uncultured bacterium. RNAcentral describes it as "SSU rRNA". It matches the Rfam family "Bacterial small subunit ribosomal RNA", at positions 26 to 524 of the family's 1533-position model. The record is from RNAcentral.
AGGAUGAACGCUAGCGGCAGGCUUAACACAUGCAAGUCGAGGGGUAUAGUAGCAAUACUAGAGACCGGCAAACGGGUGCGGAACACGUACACAAUCUACCUUUGUCUGGGGCAUAGCCCGAAGAAAUUCGGAUUAACUCCCCAUAAUAUACGACAGUGGCAUCACUGAUGUAUUAAAAAUUUAUUGGACAGAGAUGAGUGUGCGUCCCAUUAGCUAGUUGGUAGGGUAACGGCCUACCAAGGCGACGAUGGGUAGCUGGUGUGAGAGCACGACCAGCCACACGGGCACUGAGACACGGGCCCGACUCCUACGGGAGGCAGCAGUGAGGAAUAUUGGUCAAUGGACGCAAGUCUGAACCAGCCAUGCCGCGUGAAGGAUGAAGGCCUUCUGGGUUGUAAACUUCUUUUACCUGGGAAGAAACCUCGAUUUUCUAAUCGAGUUGACGGUACCAGAGGAUAAGCACCGGCUAACUCCGUGCCAGCAGCCGCGGUAAU